UGCAAGUCGAACGAAGUAGCAAUACUUAGUGGCAAACGGGUGAGGAUAAUGUGGGUAUCUGCCCAUUGGCUCGGAAUAACAUGGGGAAACUUAUGCUAAUACCGGAUAAGCCUUCACAGGGAAAGCUUUAUGCACCAAUGGAUGAGCCCGCACUUGAUUAGCUAGUUGGUAAGGUAAUGGCUUACCAAGGCUACGAUCGAUAGCUGAUCUGAGAGGAUGAUCAGCCACAUUGGGACUGAGACACGGCCCAAACUCCUACGGGAGGCAGCAGUGGGGAAUCUUGCACAAUGGGGGAAACCCUGAUGCAGCGAUGCCGCGUGAGUGAAGAAGGCCUUUGGGUUGUAAAGCUCUUUCGUCGGGGAAGAAAAUGACUGUACCCGAAUAAGAAGGUCCGGCUAACUUCGUGCCAGCAGCCGCGGUAAUACGAAGGGACCUAGCGUAGUUCGGAAUUACUGGGCUUAAAGAGCACGUAGGUGGUUAAGAAAGUUGGUGGUGAAAUCCCAAGGCUCAACCUUGGAACUGCCAUCAAAACUUUUUAGCUAGAGUGUGAUAGAGGGAAGUGGAAUCUCUAGUGUAGAGGUGAAAUUCGUAGAUAUUAGAAAGAACACCGAUUGCGAAGGCGGCUUCCUGGAUCAUUACUGACACUGAGGUGCGAAAGCAUGGGUAGCGAAGAGGAUUAGAUACCCUCGUAGUCCAUGCUGUAAACGAUGUGUGCUAGACGUUGGAAAUUUAAUUUUCAGUGUCGCAGCAAAAGCGUUAAGCACACCGCCUGGGGAGUACGACCGCAAGGUUAAAACUCGAAUGAAUUGACGGGGACCCGCACAAGCAGUGGAGCAUGUGGUUUAAUUCGAAGAUACGCGCAGAACCUUACCAACACUUGACAUGUUCGUCGCGACUUUAAGAGAUU
RNAcentral lists this ribosomal RNA (907 nucleotides) under uncultured marine bacterium. Its description in RNAcentral is "bacterial SSU rRNA". It matches the Rfam family "Bacterial small subunit ribosomal RNA", at positions 56 to 1008 of the family's 1533-position model. The record is from RNAcentral.